GGAUUUGCAGGCCUACCAGAAACGGAUGGGAGUGCAGAU
This 39-nucleotide unclassified non-coding RNA is filed under the name synthetic construct. RNAcentral describes it as "RNA (39-MER) from synthetic construct (PDB 2MXL, chain A)". The record is from RNAcentral.